ACGAACGCUGGCGGCGUGCUUAACACAUGCAAGUCGAACGGAGAGGCCCUGCUUUUGUGGGGUGCUCGAGUGGCGAACGGGUGAGUAACACGUGAGUAACCUGCCCUUGACUUUGGGAUAACUUCAGGAAACUGGGGCUAAUACCGGAUAGGAGCUCCUGCUGCAUGGUGGGGGUUGGAAAGUUUCGGCGGUUGGGGAUGGACUCGCGGCUUAUCAGCUUGUUGGUGGGGUAGUGGCUUACCAAGGCUUUGACGGGUAGCCGGCCUGAGAGGGUGACCGGCCACAUUGGGACUGAGAUACGGCCCAGACUCCUACGGGAGGCAGCAGUGGGGAAUAUUGCACAAUGGGCGGAAGCCUGAUGCAGCAACGCCGCGUGCGGGAUGACGGCCUUCGGGUUGUAAACCGCUUUCGCCUGUGACGAAGCGUGAGUGACGGUAAUGGGUAAAGAAGCACCGACUAACUACGUG
Molecule: ribosomal RNA, 467 nt
Filed under: uncultured bacterium
Lineage: Bacteria
Description: partial 16S ribosomal RNA
Rfam family: Bacterial small subunit ribosomal RNA
Source: RNAcentral